RNAcentral lists this unclassified non-coding RNA (230 nucleotides) under uncultured fungus. RNAcentral's name for it is "sequence contains ITS1, 5.8S rRNA gene". The stretch from base 182 to 230 matches the Rfam family "5.8S ribosomal RNA", at positions 1 to 49 of the family's 154-position model. Lineage: Eukaryota; Fungi. The record is from RNAcentral.
UCUCCGUAGGUGAACCUGCGGAGGGAUCAUUACUGAGUGAGGGUCUCCGGGCCCGACCUCCAACCCUUUUGUGAACCACCUCGUUGCUUCGGGGGCGACCCUGCCGGCACUUCGUCGCCGGGCGCCCCCGAAGGUCUCCAAACACUGCAUCUUUGCGUCGGAGUUUAAACAAAUUAAACAAAACUUUCAACAACGGAUCUCUUGGUUCUGGCAUCGAUGAAGAACGCAGC